This 294-nucleotide ribosomal RNA is filed under the name uncultured bacterium. Its description in RNAcentral is "partial 16S ribosomal RNA". It matches the Rfam family "Bacterial small subunit ribosomal RNA", at positions 333 to 644 of the family's 1533-position model. The record is from RNAcentral.
UGUGACCUACGGGACGCAGCAGUGGGGAAUAUUGCACAAUGGGGGAAACCCUGAUGCAGCAACGCCGCGUGAGUGAAGAAGUCAUUCGUGAUGUAAAGCUCUAUCAGCAGGGAAGAAAAUGACGGUACCUGAGUAAGAAGCCCCGGCUAACUACGUGCCAGCAGCCGCGGUAAUACGUAGGGGGCAAGCGUUAUCCGGAUUUACUGGGUGUAAAGGGAGCGUAGACGGCCAGACAAGUCUGAAGUGAAAAUCCAGCGCUUAACGUUGGAAGUGCUUUGGAAACUGCCGGCCUGG